RNAcentral lists this ribosomal RNA (526 nucleotides) under uncultured bacterium. Its description in RNAcentral is "bacterial SSU rRNA". It matches the Rfam family "Bacterial small subunit ribosomal RNA", at positions 984 to 1509 of the family's 1533-position model. The record is from RNAcentral.
ACAUCCAGCGAACUUGGGCAGAGAUGCCUUGGUGCCUUCGGGAACGCUGAGACAGGUGCUGCAUGGCUGUCGUCAGCUCGUGUUGUGAAAUGUUGGGUUAAGUCCCGNAACGAGCGCAACCCUUAUCCUUUGUUGCCAGCGAUUCGGUCGGGAACUCAAAGGAGACUGCCGGUGAUAAACCGGAGGAAGGUGGGGAUGACGUCAAGUCAUCAUGGCCCUUACGAGUAGGGCUACACACGUGCUACAAUGGCGCAUACAAAGAGAAGCGACCUCGCGAGAGCAAGCGGACCUCAUAAAGUGCGUCGUAGUCCGGAUCGGAGUCUGCAACUCGACUCCGUGAAGUCGGAAUCGCUAGUAAUCGUGGAUCAGAAUGCCACGGUGAAUACGUUCCCGGGCCUUGUACACACCGCCCGUCACACCAUGGGAGUGGGUUGCAAAAGAAGUAGGUAGCUUAACCUCCGGGAGGGCGCUUACCACUUUGUGAUUCAUGACUGGGGUGAAGUCGUAACAAGGUAGGCGUAGCGAG